Molecule: ribosomal RNA, 368 nt
Filed under: uncultured organism
Description: bacterial SSU rRNA
Rfam family: Bacterial small subunit ribosomal RNA
Source: RNAcentral
CGUAGGUGGCAAGCGUUGUCCGGAUUUAUUGGGUUUAAAGGGUGCGUAGGCGGCCCUGUAAGUCAGUGCUGAAAUAUCCCGGCUUAACCGGGAGGGUGGCAUUGAUACUGCAGGGCUUGAGUAAAGUUGAGGUUGGCGGAAUUGACGGUGUAGCGGUGAAAUGCUUAGAUAUCGUCAAGAACACCGAUAGUGUAGACAGCUAACUAAGCUUUAACUGACGCUGAGGCACGAAAGUGUGGGGAUCAAACAGGAUUAGACACCCUGGUAGUCCACACUGUAAACGUUGAUGACUCGCUGUUGGCGAUAUACAGUCAGCGGCUUAGAGAAAUCGUUAAGUCAUCCACCUGGGGAGUACGCCGGCAACGGUG